AUACUUAUGUUUCUCUUCAGAACGAACAAAUCUUUCGCCUUUUACUAAAGAUUUCCGUGGAGAGGAAUAUUAUAAGUUCAACUCAAUUUUUUGACACCCUGUUUAAUGCGGGGCU
Solea solea (common sole) is the source of this 115-nucleotide small nuclear RNA. RefSeq annotates it as U5 spliceosomal RNA. The record is from RefSeq and is a predicted model, not a curated record. The transcript has a single exon. Lineage: Eukaryota; Metazoa; Chordata; Actinopteri; Pleuronectiformes; Soleidae.